UUUUAAUGCUCAUGCAAACAAGCACUCAGUUGGGUCUCAUCAGGCCACAGUGCCUCGACCUCCUAUUUUCAGACCCAGAAUUAACUUUGAGCAAAGCAGAGGGCCCUUAUUUUGCAGAUAUUGCAAGAAAUCUGAGCACUUAAUUGAUAAGUGCUACAAGAUACAUGGGUUCCCUCAAAGCAUAAAUUACAACAAGGGNN
This 200-nucleotide long non-coding RNA is filed under the name Nicotiana benthamiana. RNAcentral describes it as "long non-coding RNA (NBEN_LNC024015)". Lineage: Eukaryota; Viridiplantae; Streptophyta; Magnoliopsida; Solanales; Solanaceae. The record is from RNAcentral.